GCAGAUGUCUUCUCGUAUGCGAUGGUCUUGUUUGAAAUCAUUUGC
This 45-nucleotide ribosomal RNA is filed under the name Scrippsiella trochoidea. Lineage: Eukaryota; Dinophyceae; Peridiniales; Peridiniaceae. The record is from RNAcentral.